This 187-nucleotide unclassified non-coding RNA is filed under the name soil metagenome. RNAcentral's name for it is "partial internal transcribed spacer 1". The record is from RNAcentral.
CAGAGUUGCAAAACUCCCACAAACCACCGCGAAUCUUACCCGUACGGUUGCCUCGGCGCUGGCGGUCCGGAAGGCCCUCGGGCCCCCGGAUCCUCGGGUCUCCCGCUCGCGGGAGGCUGCCCGCCGGAGUGCCGAAACUAAACUCUUGAUAUCUUAUGUCUCUCUGAGUACACUUUUAAAUAAGUCA